This 897-nucleotide ribosomal RNA is filed under the name Panagrolaimus facetus. RNAcentral describes it as "SSU rRNA". It matches the Rfam family "Eukaryotic small subunit ribosomal RNA", at positions 66 to 966 of the family's 1831-position model. The record is from RNAcentral. Lineage: Eukaryota; Metazoa; Nematoda; Chromadorea; Rhabditida; Panagrolaimidae.
CAUGUGUAUUUAACACGAAACCGCGUAUGGCUCAUUAUAACAGCUAAAAUUUACUUGAUUUUGACUUUUAUCCUACAUGGAUAACUGUGGUAAUUCUGGAGCUAAUACAUGCAUAAAGGAUGUUUCUUUAUUGAAACAUUGCGUAUAUUAGUAUUAAAACCAAGCAUUCUUCGGAAUGUUUUGUGUUGAAACUGAAUAUAUCUGCUGAUCGUAUGGUCUUGUACCGACGACAUGUCAUUCAAGUGUCUGGUCUAUCAACUUUCUAUAUAAGUAUAUAGUACUUAUAUGGUUUUGACGGAUAACGGGGUAUUAGGGUACGACUCCGGAGAAAAUGCCUGAGAAACGGCGUUUACAUCCAAGGAAGGCAGCAGGCGCGAAAAUUACCCACUCUCAGUACGAGGAGGUAGUGACGAGAAAUGACAAGAUCUAUUCCUUCGGGGAUGGAUCAUUGGAAUGGUUUGAUUUUAAAAUCAUUAAAGAGUAUCAAUGAGAGGGCAAGUCUGGUGCCAGCAGCCGCGGUAAUUCCAGCUCUCAUACUGCAUUGAAUUGUUGUUGCGGUUAAAAAGCUCGUAGUUGGAUCUGUACAUGAUAGGUUAGUUUAUUCUUUACGGAAUAUAACUAAUACUAAAUGUUUUUUGUUAGAUUUAUUUACGGGCCGUAAGGUUCGUAAGUUGUCUAACGAGUUUACUUUGAAUAAAUCAGAGUGCUCAAAACAGGCGUAAGCUUGUAUGGUUUUGCAUGGAAUAAUAGAACAUGACUAUGGUUCAUGUUUUAUUGGUUUUACUUACCAUAGUAAUGAUUAAAAGGAACAAACGGGGGCAUCCGUAUCGCAGGGCGAGAGGUGAAAUUCGUGGACCCUUGCGAGACGAACUACAGCGAAAGCAUUUGCCAAGAAUG